Molecule: ribosomal RNA, 461 nt
Filed under: uncultured bacterium
Lineage: Bacteria
Description: partial 16S ribosomal RNA
Rfam family: Bacterial small subunit ribosomal RNA
Source: RNAcentral
GUGAACGCUGGCGGCGUGCCUAAUACAUGCAAGUCGAACGGAGAUUAAGUAGCUUGCUAUUUAAUCUUCGUGGCGCACGGGUGAGUAAUAUAUAGCUAACUUGCCCAUUACUAAGGGACAACAGUUGGAAGCGACUGCUAAUACCUUAUACUCCGUAUCUAUAUAAGUAGAUACGGGAAAGUUUUUCGGUAAUGGAUAGGGCUAUAUCGUAUCAGCUAGUUGGUAAGGUAAUGGCUUACCAAGGCUAUGACGCGUAACUGGUCUGAGAGGAUGAUCAGUCACACUGGAACUGAGACACGGUCCAGACUCCUACGGGAGGCAGCAGUAGGGAAUAGUGCUCAAUGGGGGAAACCCUGAAGCAGCAACGCCGCGUGAAGGAGGACACUUUUCGGAGCGUAAACUCCUUUUCUUGGGAAAGAAUUAUGACGGUACCCAAGGAAUAAGCACCGGCUAACUCCGUG